AUGCAGGAUGAAUACUCGGCGUUGAUGCAGAACAGGACGUGGAUCCUCGUCCCUCGGCCCCCUGGUGCCAACAUCGUGACCGGGAAAUGGCUCUUUCGACACAAGUUCAAGUCUGACGAAAGCCUGGAACGCUACAAGGCAAGAUGGAUGGUGCGGGGCUUCUCCCAAUGGCCCGGCGUCGACUUCGACGAGACCUUCUCGCCGGUCAUCAAGGCGGCCACGAUCCACUCCGUGCUCUCCGUCGCGGCGUCUCGCGCGUGGCCCGUUCACCAGAUGGACGUGAGCAACGCCUUUCUUCACGGCCGCCUCGCCGAGCGCGUCUACUGCCAACAGCUGGCUGGCUUCGUCGACGCUGCUCGCCCCGACCACGUCUGCCUCCUCGACAAGUCGCUCUACGGCCUCAAGCAAGCGCCGCGCGCCUGGUUCGCCAGGUUC
Molecule: ribosomal RNA, 435 nt
Filed under: Triticum aestivum (bread wheat)
Lineage: Eukaryota; Viridiplantae; Streptophyta; Magnoliopsida; Poales; Poaceae
Description: partial small subunit ribosomal RNA
Source: RNAcentral